UUAAGAAUAUUGUGCAAUGGGCGCAAGCCUGACACAGCGAUGCCGCGUGGAGGAUGAAGGUCUUCGGAUUGUAAACUCCGCUAAAGUGGGAAGAAUAAGCGUACUCGCAAGAGUGCGUGAUGACGGUACCACUCUAAAGCCCCGGCUAAUUACGUGCCAGCAGCCGCGGUAAUACGUAUGGGGCAAGCGUUGUUCGGAAUCAUUGGGCGUAAAGGGCACGCAGGCGGACUAGUAAGUUGGUUGUAUAAUCUCCAGGCUUAACCUGGAAUCUGCUUCCAAAACUGCUAGUCUAGAGUUCCAGAGGGGAGAGCGGAAUUCUCGGUGUAGCGGUGGAAUGCGUAGAUAUCGAGAGGAACACCAGUGGCGAAGGCGGCUCUCUGGCUGGAUACUGACGCUGAGGUGCGAAAGCAUGGGGAGCAAACA
Molecule: ribosomal RNA, 423 nt
Filed under: uncultured bacterium
Lineage: Bacteria
Description: bacterial SSU rRNA
Rfam family: Bacterial small subunit ribosomal RNA
Source: RNAcentral